Molecule: ribosomal RNA, 468 nt
Filed under: uncultured bacterium
Lineage: Bacteria
Description: partial 16S ribosomal RNA
Rfam family: Bacterial small subunit ribosomal RNA
Source: RNAcentral
GACGAACGCUGGCGGCGUGCUUAACACAUGCAAGUCGAACGGAAAGGCCCUGCUUUUGUGGGGUGCUCGAGUGGCGAACGGGUGAGUAACACGUGAGUAACCUGCCCUUGACUUUGGGAUAACUUCAGGAAACUGGGGCUAAUACCGGAUAGGAGCUCCUGCUGCAUGGUGGGGGUUGGAAAGUUUCGGCGGUUGGGGAUGGACUCGCGGCUUAUCAGCUUGUUGGUGGGGUAGUGGCUUACCAAGGCUUUGACGGGUAGCCGGCCUGGGAGGGUGACCGGCCACAUUGGGACUGGGAUACGGCCCAGACUCCUACGGGAGGCAGCAGUGGGGAAUAUUGCACAAUGGGCGGAAGCCUGAUGCAGCAACUCCGCGUGCGGGAUGACGGCCUUCGGGUUGUAACCCGCUUUCGCCUGUGACGAAGCGUGAGUGACGGUAAUGUGUAAAUAAGCACCGGCUAACUACGUG